AGGGGGGGUUGUUCGGAUUAUUGGGCGUAAGGGCGCGUAGGCGGUGCCACAAGUCACUUGUGAAAUCCCCGGGCUUAAUUCGGGGCCUGCAGGCGAAACUGUGGUGCUGGAGUAUGGGAGAGGUGCGUGGAAUUCCCGGUGUAGCGGUGAAAUGCGCAGAUAUCGGGAGGAACACCGGUGGCGAAGGCGGUUCUCUGGGCCUGUGCUGACGCUGAGGAGCGAAAGCGUGGGGAGCGAACAGGAUUAGAUACCCUGGUAGUCCACGCCGUAAACGUUGGGCGCUAGGUGUGGGUCCCUUCCACGGGGUCUGUGCCGCAGCUAACGCAUUAAGCGCCCCGCCUGGGGAGUACGGCCGCAAGGCUAAAACUCAAAGGAAUUGACGGGGGCCCGCACAAGCGGCGGAGCAUGUUGCUUAAUUCGACGCAACGCGAAGAACCUUACCAAGGUUUGACAUGGACGGAAAUCCUCCAGAGAUGGGGGGUCCUUCGGGGCCGUUCACAGGUGGUGCAUGGCUGUCGUCAGCUCGUGUCGUGAGAUGUUGGGUUAAGUCCCGCAACGAGCGCAACCCUCGUCCCAUGUUGCCAGCGGGUUAUGCCGGGGACUCAUGGGAGACUGCCGGGGUCAACUCGGAGGAAGGUGGGGAUGACGUCAAGUCGUCAUGCCCCUUAUGUCUUGGGCUGCAAACAUGCUACAAUGGUGGUGACAGAGGGCUGCGAGCCUGUGAGGGUGAGCGAAUCCCGGAAAGCCGGUCUCAGUUCGGAUCGGGGUCUGCAACUCGACCCCGUGAAGUCGGAGUCGCUAGUAAUCGCGGAUCAGCAACGCCGCGGUGAAUACGUUCCCGGGCCUUGUACACACCGCCCGUCACGUCACGAAAGUUGGCAACACCCGAAGCCGGUGGCCUAACCCGCAAGGGAGGGAGCUGUCGAAAGUGGGGUCGGCGAUUGGGACGAAGUCGUAACAAGGUAAC
Molecule: ribosomal RNA, 967 nt
Filed under: uncultured bacterium
Lineage: Bacteria
Description: bacterial SSU rRNA
Rfam family: Bacterial small subunit ribosomal RNA
Source: RNAcentral